Molecule: transfer RNA, 82 nt
Filed under: Rhodococcus (subgen. Prescottella) equi
Lineage: Bacteria; Bacillati; Actinomycetota; Actinomycetes; Mycobacteriales; Nocardiaceae
Description: Rhodococcus hoagii tRNA-Pro
Source: RNAcentral
CCGGGCUGGACGGGCGGUCCGGCGAGUGGGUCGCCGAGGUCGACGGCGUCGACCGGACGGUGCGGGUGCCGUGGCUCGGCCC